GUGCUUGCUUUGGCAGCACAUACAGUAAAAUUGGAAUGAUACGGGGAAUAUUAGCAUGGCCUUGUGCAAGGAUGAUACACAAAUUCGUGAAGCGUUCCAUAUUUUU
Ochotona princeps (American pika) is the source of this 106-nucleotide small nuclear RNA. Lineage: Eukaryota; Metazoa; Chordata; Mammalia; Lagomorpha; Ochotonidae. The record is from RefSeq and is a predicted model, not a curated record.